Molecule: long non-coding RNA, 1657 nt
Organism: Homo sapiens (human)
Lineage: Eukaryota; Metazoa; Chordata; Mammalia; Primates; Hominidae
Source: Ensembl
GAAAAUACAUCAUCUUUGAACUAGAAAAUGAGCGCUCAGCAGACCUUGAGUUUGCCAGAUUUGAUCAUGAACUUCCCAGCUUCAAGAACUCCUGAACAAAGCUCCACGAUGAAGUCUACGAAGCCACAUUUUGGACAAAGGCUGAAUCUAAGGACUGUUUGGAAGAGAUCCACCCAAUAGAUUAGCUUAAAGAAGACUAUCUGGACAACUUGUUGGACAAUGCUGCACUCUCCUUAGGAAGAGAUCUCUCAGCUGCCAGAACAUAAUUUCCCUUCCAAGACUCCGCCAGUAUAUCACCUUCUCAAGGAGCCUUCUAACUCCUUUUUUGCUCUUUUGGCAUAAAUUUGUGUUCCUUGGACUUUCAUAGCAUCAUUUGGUUAUGCUUCUGAUACAAUUCUUAAAAUAUAAUACUGUAUUGUCCUUGUCAUUUGUCUGUUCUUUAUAGAUCCUCAAUAUAUAUUUGGUACUAAAACAGAGAAUGAGAUACUGUGCUCUGAGACCCAGAUAAUAUGGAAUAAAAAAUACUAACGAUAGACUGGAUAAAGAAAAUGUCACAUAUAUACACCAUGGAAUACUAUGCAGCCACAAAAAAGGAUGAGUUUAUGUCCUUUGCAGGGACAUGGAUGAAGCUGGAAACCAUCAUUUGCAGCAAGCUAACACAGGAACAGAAAACCAAACACUGCAUGUUCUCACUCAUAAGUAGGAGUUGAACAAUGAGAACACAUGGACACAGGGAGGGGAACAUCACACACUGGGACCUUUCAGGGGAUGUGGGGCUAGGAGAGGGAUAGCAUUAGGAGAAAUACUUAAUGUAGAUAACGGGUCGAUGGGUGCAGCAAACCACCAUGGCACAUGUAUACCUAUGUAACAAACCUACACGUUCUGCACUUGUAUCCCAGAACUUAAAGUAUAAUAAUAAAAAAAAAUUGGCAUACGACUAUGAAAAAGUCAAGUUUCACAAAAUUUUAAAACGUCUUUUACAUUUUCCAAUUUUAAUGUGAAAAAGGAGUGGUACAGUUAUGCAAUUAUGACAUGGUCUGUCAUAUCAACCCACAUUUUUUCAUCCUUUUGUGUACCAGAAUGUUAAAUAUUGAGCAUACUUUAGAUGCCAGAGACUCUCCAUAUUUUCAUACAUAAUUGAUGCUUACAGCAAUCCCAUGAAAUAAUUUGUUAUCUUUAUUUUACAAAUGAGAAAAUUAAAGCUGACAAAGCUAUUGUAGAGCACUAGGCUGGUUCACGCUUUCAAAUACCGGGCUUCUAGAGGUAUUUUUGUUUUGCUUUGUUUUGUUGCUUGUUCUACUAUUAUCUUUGUCUCAAGAAAACAGCUCUUUUACUAAAUAUGUGUCAUAUUCUUGUUUAAUCCCAAUUCAAAUAUUAUUUCCUUCAAAUCACUAAAGUUUGUUGAUUUUGACUAUUGCUUUUUGCAUAUUUUUUCAAGGAGAAUGAGAGUAUUUAUCUUGUAUAUAGUAGAAAUAAGGUAAAUAUAUAUUUUAAAUGUGUGUGAGUUUUUUUCUAAAUAAUAAGAAAAUUUAGUACAAUAAAUGUUUUUCUGAGUCAGAACUUCACUCAUUUCUUUAAUUUGCCACUAAGAAACUUUGUAAUUGUAGGAAAUUCAUUGGACUCUCUUGGUCCUAGUUUCCUUAUCUGCUGAAGGACA